This 449-nucleotide ribosomal RNA is filed under the name uncultured bacterium. RNAcentral describes it as "bacterial SSU rRNA". It matches the Rfam family "Bacterial small subunit ribosomal RNA", at positions 29 to 524 of the family's 1533-position model. The record is from RNAcentral.
AACGAACGCUGGCGGCAGGCUUAACACAUGCAAGUCGAACGCCCCGCAAGGGGAGUGGCAGACGGGUGAGUAACGCGUGGGAACGUGCCCUUCGCUUCGGAAUAGCCCCCGGGAAACUGGGAGUAAUACCGGAUACGCCGUAUUGGGAAAGAUUUAUCGGCGAAGGAUCGGCCCGCGUUAGAUUAGCUAGUUGGCGGUGUAAUGGACCACCAAGGCUACGAUCUAUAGCUGGUCUGAGAGGAUGAUCAGCCACACUGGGACUGAGACACGGCCCAGACUCCUACGGGAGGCAGCAGUGGGGAAUCUUGGACAAUGGGCGCAAGCCUGAUCCAGCCAUGCCGCGUGAGUGAAGAAGGCCUUAGGGGUUGUAAAGCUCUUUUGCCAGGGAAGAUGAUGACUGUACCUGGAGAAUAAGCCCCGGCUAACUUCGUGCCAGCAGCCGCGGUAAU